CAGGCCGCCAGUGCCCUCAUAAAGGCUCACACUCACCAGGUGACGGCCAUGCAGAGCCGGGCUGAUGCAGUGUCCAGUGAGACCCAAGACGAGCUCUAAGUGAGUCGGCUGCUUCACAAGUCGGCAGCAGAAUCCAGGUGUCUGGUCACGGAUGGGGCAGAGGAGAACGUCGUGAACGCCUGGCAGGGUGAGAGCACUGUGCAGCUGGCUGCACACUGGGCUGGGGCAGCCCCAGCCAUCCUCGACCCCACGAGUCUGGACAGGCGGACGUGCAGAGGUGGCGGCUGCGCUGCCCGAGGCAGGGGCCGCCGAGUGACCGGAGGACGACGCCCCUGGACUACGCAAGACAGAGCGACAAGCGGGAUCUCGUUAAUAUGCUAAUAUAUUACCGUCUUACCUUAUUAAAGGAAAUAAGAUUCAGUUCACCAUUUAUCCUAACUUUUAAAAUAAAGACAAUAAAAACUUAA
Molecule: long non-coding RNA, 467 nt
Organism: Schistocerca cancellata (South American locust)
Lineage: Eukaryota; Metazoa; Arthropoda; Insecta; Orthoptera; Acrididae
Exons: 2
Source: RefSeq, a predicted model, not a curated record